UACAGAGGGGGCAAGCGUUGUUCGGAAUUACUGGGCGUAAAGGGCGCGUAGGCGGCCUGUUAAGUCGAAUGUGAAAUCCCCGGGCUCAACCCGGGAACUGCGUCCGAUACUGGCAGACUUGAAUUCGGGAGAGGGAUGCGGAAUUCCAGGUGUAGCGGUGAAAUGCGUAGAUAUCUGGAGGAACACCGGUGGCGAAGGCGGCAUCCUGGACCGAGAUUGACGCUGAGGCGCGAAAGCCAGGGGAGCAAACGGG
This 253-nucleotide ribosomal RNA is filed under the name uncultured bacterium. RNAcentral describes it as "partial 16S ribosomal RNA". It matches the Rfam family "Bacterial small subunit ribosomal RNA", at positions 524 to 776 of the family's 1533-position model. The record is from RNAcentral.